AUUGAACGCUGGCGGCAUGCCUAACACAUGCAAGUCGAACGGUAACGACGAAGACAAUCCUUCGGGUGCGUCUUUGGGCGACGAGUGGCGAACGGGUGAGUAAUGCUUGGGAAUCUACCUGACAGUGGGGGACAACCCGGGGAAACCCGGGCUAAUACCGCAUACGUCCUACGGGAGAAAGCGGGGGUCUUCGGACCUCGCGCUGACGGAUGAGCCCAAGUCCGAUUAGCUUGUUGGUAGGGUAAUGGCCUACCAAGGCGACGAUCGGUAGCUGGUCUGAGAGGAUGAUCAGCCACACUGGGACUGAGACACGGCCCAGACUCCUACGGGAGGCAGCAGUGGGGAAUAUUGGACAAUGGGCGCAAGCCUGAUC
This 373-nucleotide ribosomal RNA is filed under the name uncultured bacterium. RNAcentral's name for it is "bacterial SSU rRNA". It matches the Rfam family "Bacterial small subunit ribosomal RNA", at positions 30 to 388 of the family's 1533-position model. The record is from RNAcentral.